This 440-nucleotide ribosomal RNA is filed under the name uncultured bacterium. RNAcentral describes it as "partial 16S ribosomal RNA". It matches the Rfam family "Bacterial small subunit ribosomal RNA", at positions 338 to 795 of the family's 1533-position model. The record is from RNAcentral.
CCUACGGGUGGCAGCAGUGGGGGAUAUUGCACAAUGGGGGAAACCCUGAUGCAGCGACGCCGCGUGAGUGAAGAAGUAUUUCGGUAUCUAAAGCCUUAUCAGCAGGGAAGAAAAUGACAGUACCUGACCAAGAAGCCCCGGUUAACUACGUGCCAGCAGCCGCGGGAAAACGUGGGGGGCAAGCGUUAUCCGGAUUUACUGGGUGUAAAGGGGGCGUAGACGGGUUUGUAAGUCUGGCGGGAAAGCCCGGGGCCCAACCCCGGGAGUGCUUUGGAAACUGGGUAACUGGAGUACGGGAGGGGCAGGCGGAAUGCGUGGUGUAGCGGUGAAAUGCGUAGAUAUCAGGAGGAACACCGGCGGCGAAGGCGGCCUGCUGGACUGAAACUGACGUUGAGGCUCGAAAGCGUGGGGAGCGAACAGGAUUAGAUACCCCGGUAGUC